RNAcentral lists this ribosomal RNA (254 nucleotides) under uncultured bacterium. RNAcentral's name for it is "partial 16S ribosomal RNA". It matches the Rfam family "Bacterial small subunit ribosomal RNA", at positions 524 to 776 of the family's 1533-position model. The record is from RNAcentral.
GACAGAGGCCUCAAGCGUUAGGCGAGAAUCACUGGGCUUAAAGCGUGUGUAGGCGGAUCGUUAAGUGUCUUGUGAAAUCCCACGGCUCACCCGUGGAACUGCUGGGCAUACUGGCGAUCUUGGGCCAACUAGGGGCAACUGGAACAAGCGGUGGAGCGGUGAAAUGCGUAGAUAUCGCUUGGAACGCCAAAGGUGAAAACAGGUUGCUGGGGUUGUGCCGACGCUGAGACACGAAAGCCAGGGGAGCAAACGGG